This 661-nucleotide ribosomal RNA is filed under the name uncultured Delftia sp. Its description in RNAcentral is "bacterial SSU rRNA". It matches the Rfam family "Bacterial small subunit ribosomal RNA", at positions 60 to 718 of the family's 1533-position model. The record is from RNAcentral. Lineage: Bacteria; Pseudomonadati; Pseudomonadota; Betaproteobacteria; Burkholderiales; Comamonadaceae.
AGUCGAACGGUAACAGGUCUUCGGACGCUGACGAGUGGCGAACGGGUGAGUAAUACAUCGGAACGUGCCCAGUCGUGGGGGAUAACUACUCGAAAGAGUAGCUAAUACCGCAUACGAUCUGAGGAUGAAAGCGGGGGACCUUCGGGCCUCGCGCGAUUGGAGCGGCCGAUGGCAGAUUAGGUAGUUGGUGGGAUAAAAGCUUACCAAGCCGACGAUCUGUAGCUGGUCUGAGAGGACGACCAGCCACACUGGGACUGAGACACGGCCCAGACUCCUACGGGAGGCAGCAGUGGGGAAUUUUGGACAAUGGGCGAAAGCCUGAUCCAGCAAUGCCGCGUGCAGGAUGAAGGCCUUCGGGUUGUAAACUGCUUUUGUACGGAACGAAAAAGCUUCUCCUAAUACGAGAGGCCCAUGACGGUACCGUAAGAAUAAGCACCGGCUAACUACGUGCCAGCAGCCGCGGUAAUACGUAGGGUGCGAGCGUUAAUCGGAAUUACUGGGCGUAAAGCGUGCGCAGGCGGUUAUGUAAGACAGAUGUGAAAUCCCCGGGCUCAACCUGGGAACUGCAUUUGUGACUGCAUGGCUAGAGUACGGUAGAGGGGGAUGGAAUUCCGCGUGUAGCAGUGAAAUGCGUAGAUAUGCGGAGGAACACCGAUGGCGA